CCUACGGGCCGCACCAGUGGGGAAUAUUGGACAAUGGGCGAAAGCCUGAUCCAGCAAUGCCGCGUGUGUGAAGAAGGUCUUCGGAUUGUAAAGCACUUUCGACGGAGACGAUGAUGACGGUACCCGUAGAAGAAGCCCCGGCUAACUUCGUGCCAGCAGCCGCGGUAAUACGAAGGGGGCUAGCGUUGCCCGGAAUGACUGGGCGUAAAGGGCGCGUAGGCGGUUUAUGCAGUCAGAUGUGAAAUCCCCGGGCUUAACCUGGGAACUGCAUUUGAGACGCAUAGACUAGAGGUCGAGAGAGGGUUGUGGAAUUCCCAGUGUAGAGGUGAAAUUCGUAGAUAUUGGGAAGAACACCGGUGGCGAAGGCGGCAACCUGGCUCGAUACUGGCGCUGAGGUGCGAAAGCGUGGGGAGCAAACAGGAUUAGAUACCCGGGUAGUC
Molecule: ribosomal RNA, 440 nt
Filed under: uncultured bacterium
Lineage: Bacteria
Description: bacterial SSU rRNA
Rfam family: Bacterial small subunit ribosomal RNA
Source: RNAcentral